RNAcentral lists this ribosomal RNA (475 nucleotides) under uncultured bacterium. RNAcentral describes it as "bacterial SSU rRNA". It matches the Rfam family "Bacterial small subunit ribosomal RNA", at positions 28 to 507 of the family's 1533-position model. The record is from RNAcentral.
GACGAACGCUGGCGGCGUGCCUAACACAUGCAAGUCGAGCGGGGUUGAAGCGAGGGGUAACUCGGACUUCUACCUAGCGGCGGACGGGUGAGUAACGCGUGGGCAACCUGCCUCAAGGUUUGGGAUAACAGCUCGAAAGGGCUGCUAAUACCGGAUAUGCCUGUGGCCUCGCAUGGGGCUAUGAGCAAAGGGGAAACCCGCCUUGAGAUGGGCCCGCGUCCCAUCAGCUAGUUGGUGAGGUGAAGGCUCACCAAGGCGACGACGGGUAGCCGGCCUGAGAGGGUGACCGGCCACACUGGGACUGAGACACGGCCCAGACUCCUACGGGGGGCAGCAGUGGGGGAUCUUGCACAAUGGGCGAAAGCCUGAUGCAGCGACGCCGCGUGAGCGAAGAAGGCCUUCGGUUGUAAAGCUCUGUCUGGAGGGACGAAGAAAAUGACGGUACCUCCGGAGGAAGGCCACGGCUAACUACGUG